Molecule: ribosomal RNA, 130 nt
Filed under: Deinococcus radiopugnans ATCC 19172
Lineage: Bacteria; Thermotogati; Deinococcota; Deinococci; Deinococcales; Deinococcaceae
Description: partial 16S ribosomal RNA
Rfam family: Bacterial small subunit ribosomal RNA
Source: RNAcentral
CCACGGGAGUAAAUUGCAGCUCAAACCGCCGGGAGCCGAAAGGCAGGCGUCUAGGCUGUGGUUCAUGACUGGGGUGAAGUCGUAACAAGGUAACUGUACCGGAAGGUGCGGUUGGAUCACCUCCUUUACU